Molecule: transfer RNA, 74 nt
Filed under: Sus scrofa (pig)
Lineage: Eukaryota; Metazoa; Chordata; Mammalia; Artiodactyla; Suidae
Rfam family: tRNA
About the family: Transfer RNA (tRNA) molecules are approximately 80 nucleotides in length. Their secondary structure includes four short double-helical elements and three loops (D, anti-codon, and T loops).
Source: Rfam by way of RNAcentral
UCCUCUGUGGUUCAGUGGGUUAGGGACCUGGCACUGUCACCGCUGUGGCUCAGGUUCAAUCCCUGGCUCAGGAA